Molecule: transfer RNA, 93 nt
Filed under: Nevskia sp.
Lineage: Bacteria; Pseudomonadati; Pseudomonadota; Gammaproteobacteria; Nevskiales; Nevskiaceae
Also listed under: 3 other names
Description: tRNA-Ser
Rfam family: tRNA
About the family: Transfer RNA (tRNA) molecules are approximately 80 nucleotides in length. Their secondary structure includes four short double-helical elements and three loops (D, anti-codon, and T loops).
Source: RNAcentral
GGAGGGAUGUCCGAGUGGUUUAAGGAGCACGCCUGGAAAGCGUGUAUAGGGCCAAAAGCCCUAUCGAGGGUUCGAAUCCCUCUCCCUCCGCCA